AGACACGAAAACAAUUUAGAGAAUUGAGGACUAUCUUUGAGAGAUUUCUCUUUGCAUUCUCAUUUUUUGAUUUUUAAUUAGAGACAGAAAGAAAAAAAAGAAUUUCAAAGCUGCUUCUUUUUUCAUUCUUUUACUGGUUUUUGCUCGAGUUCUAUUGGGAUUUUUAGUAGACUACUGGCUCUUCUGUUCUGGAAUUGCUAGGUUUCUUUUCUUGUUUGUCACACUGCAUUUCACUUAUUUCUCUUGCUCUUGCUGAUUUCAUGUUGCUGCACUUGCUCUUGUUGCUGAGUUCUUCCCAAAUUAAGAGACUUAUUUUCUUAAACCUCAACUUUGCUAUUUCUUUUCAGGUACUAGCCUCAACCUUGAAAUGUAAAUAAUGUUUAAUAGGCAUAUGCCAUGAGUUGAUUGAAGUCUAUAUACAUCCCUGAAUAUUUCUUUGUUAUUACAAUGAAAUCUGAAUUUUUUUAGUCCAUCUGCUGUUAUCGAUUGAAUCUGCUAUCAAAAUAUGUUCUGGCACAAGAAGAAUGUUAUGAGUUUGUUUGAAGUGUAUGAUUUAGCUAAUAUCUAAAUAUGCUGUGGUUUAAAUAACAUAUUUUAAAAUGUCCAGGUUCCAUGUUUUGUUGAAAAAGAGUGAAGUUCAGAUAUUCUGCAAAUUAAGUUACUUUUGUUGUUGUUUACUUAGCCAUGAACUAAAUAUUUGUAUCCUUGUAUGCUAAAAAGACACUCAUUAUUUUGUAUUGGACAAUUUGACUUUAUGAAUUCAAUUUUGAGCAAAGUAAUGCAAGUAGAAUUAUUCAUAUCUGCCUAUGAUUUUAAAAUCACGCAGCUAUUUAUUGAAAAGACGUUUCGCUAUAAAAUAGUGAUAAUUAUGACUACAUGAACCCGUUCGGUGAAUUAUAAUCGUUUAAUAUGUAUCAACAGUGAGGAAGAAAAACAAAUUAGUUAGUAUCUUUUUCCUUCUGCCUAUGUUCAAUUGUUUGAAUUUUUGUAAAAGCUGAAUUGACAGCUUGCCUUCUUGAGGAAAAGAUAAUCUUGUUCUAUCCUUGAAUUGAGCAACAAUGUUGAAUGCUAGCAAAGUCUUGUUUUUGUAUCAUACAAUCUGCAAACGUCGAACUCGAAAUGUGUCACCUUUUCUCCUUGAUGAAUCUGAUUAUUUGCAUAGACAAGAUAUUUAGUAGCACUUGUAUCCAAAAGUUCUACUAUGAAGCACGUCUUUUAUAAUUGGUUGGUGAUGCAAUAAUGGGUCAAAUAUUAAUGAAACUCUAUAUAUCUUUCUACAAUGUUAUAUCCAUAAUUCAAUACCUUCAAUAAUCUCAAAUUAGUUUAGAAAAAUAAUUUAAACGCGCUAGUCGCUUUAGGCGCGAUUAAUAAUAAUGAUCGUGACUAUGGGUACGAUUCCUGUGGCAUAGUCAUAAUACCUAAACCCCAACUCGAGUGUGUGUUUCACGUGAAUCAACCAUAACUUCAAACAAUAAUAAAAAUAAACAUGUCGCAAAUUGCGGGUGCAUUUCAUGUGGCGCAGUUUGCAACGUGUACCACAACCACAACACAUCGUGACUUGUUCCAGAAAAUAAUUUCAUAAAUACUAAAAGCAGAUAGAAAGUUAAAAAUGCACGUAGGUUUAAAAUGUAUAAUAAAUCAGAUAAUUAGGCCAAUUAUUAAUAGUUGAGCGACAUUGCUAAAACCACAGUGCUCAGGAGUGCCUCACGCCUUCUCCCGGGUUAAAAGAAUUUCUUACCCAAUUUUCUGUGUUUCGCAGACUAUUAAAUAGAGUCAAAAUUUUCUCAAUUUGGAAUUUAAAAUAAACCAGUGAUUUCGGAAACCAUAUAAUUAUCUCAAGUGGCGACUCUAAAUCAAUAAAUAAUCCCAUUUCGAUAAAUGUCACUUUAAUUUGAAAAACACCCUAUCCCCUCGGGAAAAAAGAGGUUUGACAAAAGGCAUAUUGGCUAUUCUGGUUAUUAUUUCCGUUGUAAUUACCGUAUUUUGUACCCCUUUCACAUGUCCUCCUCCCAAUAGUACAUGUUUAGCUUUUAUCUAUUGUUAUCUUGUUCGUAUACUAUUAUCUGCAUAGGUUAUUUACGUGGGUGUCUUAUCAUAGCCUCGUAACUACUUCAUCGAGGUUAGGCUUGACACUUACAGAGUACAUGGAGUCGGUUGUACUCAUACUACACUCUACACUUCUUGUGCAGUCUUUCAUACUAGCCCUAGCUAUUCAUGAGGCAUAGCAGCUUGGAUUUGCUCAUUGAAGACGCGAGGUAGAUCUGCUGAUGUCCGCAGACCUUGAAGUCCCCUCCUAUUUCCCUUUUACUAUUUCUUUUCAUUCAAAACAGUUGUAUUUAUUUCAGACCCUAUUUGUAGAAAUAUUAUAGCUCGUGAG
RNAcentral lists this long non-coding RNA (2377 nucleotides) under Nicotiana tabacum (common tobacco). Its description in RNAcentral is "long non-coding RNA (NTAB_LNC006041)". The record is from RNAcentral. Lineage: Eukaryota; Viridiplantae; Streptophyta; Magnoliopsida; Solanales; Solanaceae.